AACUUUUAGCAACGGAUCUCUUGGCUCUCGCAACGAUGAAGAACGCAGCGAAAUGCGAUAAGUAGUGUGAAUUGCAGAAUUCAGUGAAUCAUCGAAUCUUUGAACGCACAUUGCGCUUCCUGGUAUUCCGGGGAGCAUGCUCGUUUCAGAAUCAUUAAAACCUCACAACCCACUGGGAGUAACUCUCUCGGCUGGCAAGUGGACUUGAGCAUUUUGUCUUACCGGCAAUUGCUUUAAAAUGAUUUUUGAUGGUCUACUUUACCAUGUAGAACAUUGCAAAGUGCAACAGUUUUGCUAUUUCACUUUGGAAUGUGAUGGGUGGUAAUAGUGGCACAGCACUGGCGUAACUGCCAACCCAACCCAGAGUCUCGGUGCGAAAGCAUCAGGCUCUGACAACUUGGUCUGAAAUCGAGCAAGAAAACCCGCUGAACUUAAGCAUAUCAAUAAGCGGAGGCU
RNAcentral lists this unclassified non-coding RNA (456 nucleotides) under uncultured Powellomyces. Its description in RNAcentral is "sequence contains ITS2". The stretch from base 1 to 154 matches the Rfam family "5.8S ribosomal RNA". The record is from RNAcentral. Lineage: Eukaryota; Fungi; Chytridiomycota; Chytridiomycetes; Spizellomycetales; Powellomycetaceae.